GCGCACCAGGCGAGAAACCUUCGCAAUGCGGGAAACCGCGACGAGGGGACUCCCAGUGCCUACGCUCAGCGUAGGCUGUUCCCGAGCCUAGAAAGCUCGGGGAGUAAGGGCUGGGUAAGACGGGUGCCAGCCGCCGCGGUAAUACCCGCAGCCCGAGUGGUGGCCACUAUUAUUGGGCCUAAAGCGUCCGUAGCCGGCCCGGUAAAUGCCUGGGUAAAUCGUGAGGCCUAACCUCACGAAUUCCGGGUAGACUGCCGGGCUAGGGACCGGAGGAGGGAGAGGGUACUCCAGGGGUAGGGGUGAAAUCCUGUAAUCCCUGGAGGACCACCGGUGGCGAAGGCGCUCUCCUAGGACGGGUCCGACGGUGAGGGACGAAAGCCAGGGGAGCGAACCGGAUUAGAUACCCGUGUAGU
Molecule: ribosomal RNA, 413 nt
Filed under: uncultured microorganism
Description: bacterial SSU rRNA
Rfam family: Archaeal small subunit ribosomal RNA
Source: RNAcentral